ACCGAAGCCUCACAGUUGACAACACAUUUGACUACACUGAUUAAACUGAAGACACGGGCAGGUCAAGCUUUCUUUUGCAAACAUGGGUGCCAUCACCUGUCUGCAAAGACACUGAUGUCAUGUGAAUGUGUAGUGGAACAAACAUCCCAGCUUUGCUCCCUUUUUGCAGCAGAUCAAGAGCAACCUGCUACAAGGACAGAAGUUGAAGACACGGUCGUUGAGGAGAUGGAAGUCUCUGAGGCCAACAGCACUGGCACCAGCAAUGGAGAUGAGAUGAAAGAUCAUGCAAAGGGCUCAGAAGAACCUGAUUCAAUUUCGACUGACAGCAUUCAGCCCAAAGAUACUGUUGAGAAGAAGGAAUGACCAGCUGAGGGAAGGACAAUCAACCUCAUCUGACAGCCAACAAACUGUGCGAAGGCCAACCACACUGGUGUCAGACUGGCCCAUGUCAGUGUGGGCCCUGACACUGAUCCAGGACAACCAGUUACUCACAAGAUGCUCACACUCCCUACUUUAUUUAGACUCUCCCCUAUUUGUUAAGAAAUUACCCAUCCCUGAAGUAUAUAUGUACUGUAUGUAUAUGUAUGUAUGUAUGUAAGUAUGUAUGUACAAAACCUUACUAUAGGACUUGAACAUAUCAGUCAGCAAAGAUGAGCCAUACCUCACUGCGUGUUAGAGUCAUCCAUCAUUUUGCCAUUUGGGUGCGAUAAGAUAAACCAGGUUCAAGUCUCUUUAUUUGAUCUCUACCCACUGUGAGAGCAUGUUGAAGCUGUCAGAGGACGGCAGCCAUGGCUCCUACAUGUUGACGCUACCCAUUGGGUGAUGCUUAACAUCAACCAUCCUUCUGUUCUUACAACUCAAAUACCGCCGCCAGCAUCCGACAGCAGAAUUACCCAACAAAAUCCUCCAUUUCUAAGCCUCUGUGGAGUGCAGCUCACUGACACUUUUCAUGUCUCCCCGCACACUACUGCAGGUCGAGCUCCAUUGUUUAGUCAAAUCAACCAAUACCUUGAUUUCAGACCAUAGUCUGUAGGGCGGUGUGCCACUCCCAGGCCUUUCAUCUGCAGACAUCACUGAUAAUGUCUUAGCUCCCCCACUGCUGUAACGGCAGCUUAACUCAUUUUACCAGGAAAUUGUUCAUCAACAAAAAGGAUGUGAGUGUCUUAACAAAUCGAUUACUACCCGUCCCCCCUCCCAUCACCUUUUUUGCAGUUUCCAGUGCAUGCCAGAAAAUUGCUUUGAACCUCACCAACAAAAACAGGAGUUAGAGUUCUCUUCGCUUUCGCUCGUCUUACCAGAUUGUCUAUAAUUGUAUCAAAAGAAUCUGCCUUAUUUCAUAUCAAACUUCAAAGUCAAUCACAGACCUAAGGAGGUGGUCCAAGUAUGAAUUAUUGGUUCUGUAUUACUUGCGGAUGAUUUGUAAUUUUAAAUACAUUACGUAAUGGCUAAUACCUGUUACUGGUUUCUUGGUUUUUCCUCAGUUGAUUUAAAAAAAAAAGGCUUUGGUUUCUUUGUUGGUAUGAUUCAUGAAUUAUUUUCAGUGGUGCCAUACUUCAAAAUCAGAUGAAUUAAAGUUCUAUGAAAUGAUGCCUUCAUAUUUUGAUGUUUGCUUUGCUAAACUAUAACAGAAACAACAAAUAAAGUUUAAGGUGGAAGCCAUGUCUCAGCUUUUAAUGUACC
RNAcentral lists this long non-coding RNA (1680 nucleotides) under Mastacembelus armatus (zig-zag eel). RNAcentral describes it as "lncRNA (ENSMAMG00000017822.2)". Lineage: Eukaryota; Metazoa; Chordata; Actinopteri; Synbranchiformes; Mastacembelidae. The record is from RNAcentral.